UACUCCUACGGGAGGCAGCAGUCGGGAAUUUUGCGCAAUGGAGGAAACUCUGACGCAGUGACGCCGCGUAUAGGAAGAAGGUUUUCGGAUUGUAAACUAUUGUCGAUGAGGACGAUAAUGACGGUACCUUACAAGAAAGCCACGGCUAACUACGUGCCAGCAGCCGCGGUAAU
Molecule: ribosomal RNA, 173 nt
Filed under: uncultured bacterium
Lineage: Bacteria
Description: partial 16S ribosomal RNA
Rfam family: Bacterial small subunit ribosomal RNA
Source: RNAcentral